Molecule: ribosomal RNA, 540 nt
Filed under: uncultured bacterium
Lineage: Bacteria
Description: bacterial SSU rRNA
Rfam family: Bacterial small subunit ribosomal RNA
Source: RNAcentral
UGAGGAAUAUUGGUCAAUGGGCGCAAGCCUGAACCAGCCAAGUAGCGUGCAGGAAGACGGCCCUAUGGGUUGUAAACUGCUUUUAUACGAGAAUAAUUUGAUGCACGUGUGCGUUAUUGCAUGUAUCGUAUGAAUAAGGACCGGCUAAUUCCGUGCCAGCAGCCGCGGUAAUACGGAAGGUCCAGGCGUUAUCCGGAUUUAUUGGGUUUAAAGGGAGUGUAGGCGGUUUGUUAAGCGUGUUGUGAAAUUUAGAUGCUCAACAUUUAACUUGCAGCGCGAACUGUCAGACUUGAGUACACGCAACGUAUACGGAAUUCAUGGUGUAGCGGUGAAAUGCUUAGAUAUCAUGAAGAACUCCGAUUGCGAAGGCAGCAUACGGGAGUGUAACUGACGCUUAAGCUCGAAGGUGCGGGUAUCGAACAGGAUUAGAUACCCUGGUAGUCCGCACAGUAAACGAUGGAUGCCCGCUGUUAGCGCCUGGCGUUAGCGGCUAAGCGAAAGCAUUAAGCAUCCCACCUGGGGAGUACGCCGGCAACGGUG